Molecule: small nuclear RNA, 160 nt
Filed under: Carlito syrichta (Philippine tarsier)
Lineage: Eukaryota; Metazoa; Chordata; Mammalia; Primates; Tarsiidae
Description: U1 spliceosomal RNA (ENSTSYG00000033468.1)
Rfam family: U1 spliceosomal RNA
About the family: U1 is a small nuclear RNA (snRNA) component of the spliceosome (involved in pre-mRNA splicing). Its 5' end forms complementary base pairs with the 5' splice junction, thus defining the 5' donor site of an intron. There are significant differences in sequence and secondary structure between metazoan and yeast U1 snRNAs, the latter being much longer (568 nucleotides as compared to 164 nucleotides in human).
Source: RNAcentral
ACACUUAGCUAACAGGGGAGUACCAUGAUCACAAAGGUGAUUUUCACAGGGUGAGACUCGUCCAUUGCACUCCAGAUGUGGUGACCCCCAUGAUUCCCCCAAAUGUGGGAAAUUCGACUGCAUACUUUGUAGUAGUAAAGGACUGCAUUUGUGCUUUCCC